This 810-nucleotide ribosomal RNA is filed under the name uncultured bacterium. RNAcentral describes it as "bacterial SSU rRNA". It matches the Rfam family "Bacterial small subunit ribosomal RNA", at positions 8 to 807 of the family's 1533-position model. The record is from RNAcentral.
AGAGUUUGAUCCUGGCUCAGGAUGAACGCUGGCGGCGUGCUUAACACAUGCAAGUCGAACGGGGAUGCCAUUUUUGAAGCGAUUAGCUUGCUAAGAGUGGAAACGUUGGCAUCUUAGUGGCGGACGGGUGAGUAACGCGUGGGGAACCUGCCCUGUACAGGGGGAUAACACUUAGAAAUAGGUGCUAAUACCGCAUAAGCGCACAGUAUCGCAUGAUACAGUGUGAAAAACUCCGGUGGUACAGGAUGGACCCGCGUCUGAUUAGCUGGUUGGCGGGGUAACGGCCCACCAAGGCGACGAUCAGUAGCCGGCCUGAGAGGGUGAACGGCCACAUUGGGACUGAGACACGGCCCAAACUCCUACGGGAGGCAGCAGUGGGGAAUAUUGGACAAUGGGGGGAACCCUGAUCCAGCGACGCCGCGUGAGUGAAGAAGUAUUUCGGUAUGUAAAGCUCUAUCAGCAGGGAAGAAAAUGACGGUACCUGACUAAGAAGCCCCGGCUAACUACGUGCCAGCAGCCGCGGUAAUACGUAGGGGGCAAGCGUUAUCCGGAUUUACUGGGUGUAAAGGGAGCGUAGACGGUGCAGCAAGUCUGAUGUGAAAGGUCAGGGCCCAACCCCGGGACUGCAUUGGAAACUGUUGAACUGGAGUACAGGAGAGGUAAGCGGAAUUCCUAGUGUAGCGGUGAAAUGCGUAGAUAUUAGGAGGAACACCAGUGGCGAAGGCGGCUUACUGGACUGUAACUGACGUUGAGGCUCGAAAGCGUGGGGAGCAAACAGGAUUAGAUACCCUGGUAGUCCACGCCGUAAAC